Long non-coding RNA from Equus asinus (donkey), 5627 nucleotides. NCBI's taxonomy places the organism in Eukaryota, Metazoa, Chordata, Mammalia, Perissodactyla, Equidae. The record is from Ensembl.
CGACAGUUAGCCUGCAGUCUGCUGAGACCUACAGGACAUAGAAUGGCACAUUUGCGUUCUCUGAAACCACUAAGUUUGUGACAACAGAAAACUAAUACAGGGGCAGAGAGGAAAGCAGAGUCUGUGACCUGAUUGGCUCCUGGUCUGAGCCCUGUGGCAGGAGGGCUCUGGGCAGAGAGUGACACAGCAGUUAUCAAGUGAGAUCCUGCAUGGCACCCGUAGGGGACAGACAUCUUGCCCAUUUCGAGAAGGAGCAUAGAGAGAAAUGAGGGAACCCCGCACACUCGGGCCCUCCGGAGUUUGUCUGGAACAUUCUCCCAGAGCUUACCUGCAACAAUGGUGAAACAGGAUGCUUGCCCUCCACAGCUCUGUGAACAGAGUGUCAAUGAGGAGAGCCCGUGUGAGAUGCCCAGGGGGCCCCAAAUACAAGCCAUAGAAUUUGAGCAUCUGUGACAGAGUGAACUCAUUUAGCAGGCUGAUAAUGUCUGGGGAAAUUCAAGCUAAGCAAAGUUUUAACCUCCCUGAGCCUCGAUUUCUUCAUCUGUAAAAUGAGGGAAACAAUAGCUACCCCAAAGAGUUGUUGUGGGGCUGAAUUAAAUCACGUGAGCAAGUGCCUUCUGUUCCCGGAUGACGGCAGCCGCUUACUCCCUUCCUCCGGCUCUUCUCCCUUCCUGUCCUCUGACUCUGCUUUAUUCUGCUGUGGCACCACUCUGCCUGUCUGCUACAGGUCUUAUCUCAAAGCUUCACAGCCUACCUUUGGUGUCCAACGUGGAGCCAUGCCAGCCUCUUGGACCCAUGUGGCAAGUCACCUUUGCUGGUUCACCUUGGCCACCCCAGCCUGCAGGAUGGGUCUGAAAGAGGAGGGACGGUUGCUAACCAGGACGGAGGAUGCGGGAGAUUCCUGGAAGUGAGACGAGCCUACUGGAGCGAGUCCAAGACUGCUCAGCCAAGGGGGCACGCAAGUUCUCCCAGGUUCUAUUCCGUGGCUCCAUGCAGAUGCAUCUGCCUUCCCACCAGCGGUGUUAAUUAAGCAGCGUCCAUGGGCCCAUAACACCUAGGCAUCGAGCAGACCCAGCGGAACGCAACUCCAAUGACUGAAUUCCUCUCCCAUCACGUGACACGGGCCUUCAUCUCGCAGCUCCCUUGCCCUCCAGAUCCCGGAGAAGUUUGGUUAAGUUUGGUGGCAGGAGGACAGGAAGAGCCAGACUACUUGUCCCCUCUCUCCUUCUGGGGGAGCCUCCAGUCGCAGCUAUGCUUUCUGAUGGCUCCAGCUCUAGGCGGAGAUGCCAGCCGCAACUGAAGUUUCCACCAAGUGGCCGGAUCCUGGACUGCUAUUGAUCUCCUCUGUGACGUCCCAGCCCUGGGGACAGCAGCAGCUGCCCUCUGUUGCUGAUCUCCACAUUGUCUGCCCUCCCUGUCUGGAGACUCUGCCUUUCCAGUACCUGUUUAAGUGAUUUCCUGUAUUACAUGUCCCCUGUUUGGAACAUCUAGAGUGGUUUCUGUUUUCCCGACGAGACUUGAACUGAGAAGCAUGUUUACUGUUUAUUCUUCCAGUUUCUCUGAGCCCCUUGCACUUCUUCUUCCUUCAGCCUUUGCUUAUUUCCUUCUGAGAAGAGAAAACGCUGGAAUGAGAGCUAACCCUCCUCACCUGUUCACACCAUGGAGUGGGCGUCUGCUAAGCUUGUCAUAAACGAGAAAGAAUACUGUGAUUUCCUGCUGCAGGGCCACAGUAGGGAAUGUCAUCACUUCCCAACUUGGAUUUAUAUUUCUUCCUUCCUGUUUUCUUUUUCUUGUGAGGAAGAUUAGCCCUGAGCUAACAUCUGUGCCCAUCUUCCUCUAUUUUGUAUGUGGGAUGCCGCCACAGCAUGGCUCGAUGAAUGGUGCAUAGGUCUGCACCAGGGAUCCCAACUUGAGAACCCUGGCCUGCCAAAGCUGAGCGUGUGAAUUUAACCACUACACCACUGGGCUGGUCCCUUAUAUUUCUUUCUUGAUAGUGGUACCCAGAUAUCUGGUCCCUACCAACCGAUGACUUCAAAAUAAAACCUCAUUUCAACACAUAACUGGAUAUUAAUGUCAUGAGAGAUCCCUAAAUGUCUAAUUACUGGAAAGUGGUCCCCUCACAUUACUUCUAAGUUACAUUGACAGAUGUCCAAGGUUGCUGCCUCCCGUGCUCAGGAGUGGGCCCUCCGAUCUUCUUUAUGGUCUCCUUGUCCUGCUGACUCCUGCUGCCUCUGCGCCAGUGCCUCCUGAGACCGCUGCCUCACGGCCCCGGGUGGGCUCUGCUGUGGAUGCCCGCGCAGCCUCUUCCAUGGUCUGCUUCAACUGUGCAAUGCCCUUGUCCUUAAUUCUCCAAAGCAGAGCAGAGACUAGGCAGUGACUUUUAAUAGAGACUUCUAGAAAUUCGGGAGAUAAUGGAAGGGAAAAAGAUCACAAGAAAUGCUUAGUAUUGCUACCAAUGUUACCACAUUCGGAGCCCACCAGCUGGGCUCUCUUUGCCUCCGAGACCAAGCCAAAUUGGAAGAAGCUCCCACAAAGAAAUGAUGCAAUUCUUCAUUUGCUGUCCCCAGAUCUGCAUCUCCCUGUUCCAUUUGACAGUGGGACUCCACACACACUUACUCACAGGGGUGUGGUCUAGCCCUGUCUUGCCCCAACAAGAUAAUUGUGCAAUCGUCCUGACAUAAAUACAUGUAUCAGGGUAUCAAUUCAUCAAUAUUGUCAGGUUACAGAAUGGAUAUCUAGCGAAUCCUGUUCCUCUGCACAGUCCUGAGGAUGAGCCUAGAGAUCUUCCUGGGUCUUUGAGGUUCUCUAUUCCUGUUAUCCUUGAACAGGAAAAGUGUGUGCAUGCACAUGCCUGUGCACGGAUGCACACACACACAGAGUCAUCUCUCUAAAGGCACGAGAAUGAACAAUAAUUUGUGUGCACGGUUUAGUCUAAAUGAAUAUUCACAAAAACCCAUUUUUUCAUAAGGAAAUAUUUUGCAGAGAUGCAGUUCUAGAACUCAGCUUACACUUUUAAAAACAUCUCUAAUAAUCGCCCAGAACAAUUUACCUCUUCAGAGCUAUAUUACCUUGAAUAUUUCCUUCUUAGAAGAGGGUCUUCUUUUUCCCCCAGGAAGCCACCUCUGUGAGCUUUUUAAUUACGCAAAUGUGAGCAAAAGAUGGUGAGCCUCAAAGGCAAAUUCUAAUAUUCAUUCUUGACAGCAGAAGCUACUAAUAACCUAAAUGAUAGGUGUUUUACAUUAUGAAAUAUCUGAAGAUACAGAAAAAAUAUAAUUAAUUGAUAAACAUUCUUUUAGCCAACCAUCAGAUUUAAGUAAUGCCAUAUACUAACACUUUUACAGAUUUGUUUCAUAUUUCUUAUUUUUUUAGAAAAUAAGACAUUCUAGAUAAAGUUCAAGCCCCUGGUUUAUUCCUUUUGGAUCUGUCUCUCAACUCACUCCUCCCUGAGACAUUGCCGUCAUCACGGUGGUUUAAGGUUUUCCUAUGCAUGUCUUUGAGUUUCCAGUAUACAAAAUCAGUAUACAGGAUAACUUUGUAUAUUUUUAAUCCAAUGGUUUCAGACAGAAUAUGCUAUUCUUCAAAUUUGUUUUUUUCCCCUCAAUAUUGUUUCAAUUUAAAUUGAUGUUAAUGUGUAUAAAUCUAGUGAUUAAACUAGUUCUUUUCUUAAAACUGCAAUAUUCCUUUCUACCUUAAGUAAGAUGACCUUACUCUCACCGUCAAGAUAGCAUAAUAGAGACUGGAUUAACCCUCCUGCCUAAAAUAGACAAAAAGUAGACAAAAUAUAUGAAAUGAUGAUUUUCAAGACUCUGGACAUCAGGCAAUGAAGGACAGUGAUCCUGUGAGAGAGUCAAUCAACAACUACCCAAUAUUCCAGCUGUGAGGGAGUUUCCAGGCUGUGGUACAGGAAGUGGGCAGCCCGGCAGAGCCUGAUGACUCCUUGAGUAGAGAAGACAGAGCCACAGAACAAGAAAAUCAUGGAGCCUGGAGCUCACAGGACGGAACGCCCGAGAGGAGAGGGCUUCACAGAGACAAAACUCUGGAGAUUUGCAAAGGGUCACCUUCAACGAUUCAGUUGAAUAUGAUUUGCAUAUGACUAGCAUUAAGAAUUUAAGGAUUCCUCCCUAGUCUGGAGAAAGAAUGACCCAAAAGGAUUAGGUAAUGGUGCCUGCUGCUGACAUAGUCUGAGAUUAGUUCCUGUUUUCACCAGCCAGACCGCAGAACUUCAUGACUCAUGGGACAUUUUGUGGGAGUGCACGGAAGAGCUCUGCCUUAAUUAGUGGGCAAUAAUUAGCACUAGAUUGAGCAUUGCCCGGGUCCCACCUAGAAAAUCUUAAAAGCCAGACCCAAAAGGAUCUAUUUCCAAGUAAUGUAGUUGCAUUCCAGAAUAAAGCUGAAGAGUAUCGAUAGGAAUACAAGAACUUCCAACAUUCAACAGCAGUCAUACAGAGAAGCAGAAAAGUAUGACCCAUAAAGGAGAGUUAAAUCAAUCAAAAUUGGCCUGGAUCUGAUACAGACGUUAGAAUUAGGAGACCAGAACAUUAAAGUACAAUGAUAAUAACUGUAUUCCAUAUGGAAUUCAAAAAGUUAAGUAGAGGCAUGAAAUGUAUAAAAAUGACACAAGCCAAACUCCUACACAUGAAAACUACAACGUGUGAGAUGAAAAAUACAUUGGCUAGGAUUAACAACAUAUUUGACAUUGCAGGAGAAGAGGCUGAUACAUUUGAAGACAUAGCAAUAGAAAUAAUACAAAAUGAAACAUACACGGAGAGAAAAAUAUGGAAAAAAAUGAACAGAACAUCAUUGAGGGGUGGGACAACCACAAGGAGCCUGAAACAAAUAUAACCAGCAUCUCCAAAACAGCAGAGACAGAAAAAGAGUUGGAUGAAUAAUGGCCUCAAAUUUCCCCAAAUUUGACGAAAAUGAUAAACUCACAGAUCCAAGAAGCUCAGAGAACUCCAAGCAUAGGAAAAUGAAGAAAAGUACGCCAAGGCACGUAAGAGUCAAAUUGCUCAAAAACAAUGAUAAAGAGAAAUUUUAAAAGCAGCCAGACAAAAAUGACAAGAGGAACAGCCUGACAAAAUAAACAGAAAAGAUGUGGGUGACAGCACAUUUCUCAUAAGAAACAAUACAAGUGAGAAAACACUGGAGCAAUAUCUUUAAUGUUCAGAAAGAAAAAAAUUGCCAACCUUGAAUUCUUCGCCCAGUGAAAAUAUGUUUCAAAGAUAAAGGUCAAAUAAAGACUUUUUCAGACCACAAAAGUGGUUCCAUCAAGUGAACAUAUCAUAAAUUGCUUAUCCAUUUCUCUGUUGAUGGACAUUUAGGUGGUUUUCCUGUCUUUGCACAUUGUGCAAUGAUGUAAUGAGCAUCACGUGUGUGUUAUCUUCUGUCCACACGAGAAUUUUUCUAGGAUUUGCACCGAGCAGGAGAAUUUUGGGUCAUAGGUAAGUGCAUCUUCAGGUUUACUUGUAUUGUCAAAGUCCCUGGAGAGCCACCUGUCAGUACUGGUAUUGUCAGAUUUAAAAUGUUGCUUUCCUCAUGAAUCUGGAUGUUGUAUUCUGUUGCAAUGGUGUGUUUGUCUAUCCUGGUCCUGAUAUAAUGCUGUUUAAAUUACAUAGCUUUACAAUAAA